GAGGGUAUAGCUCAAGUGGUAGAGCACAUGCUUAGCACAUAUGAGGUCCUGAGUUCAAUCCCCAGUACCUCCU
Molecule: transfer RNA, 73 nt
Filed under: Camelus ferus (Wild Bactrian camel)
Lineage: Eukaryota; Metazoa; Chordata; Mammalia; Artiodactyla; Camelidae
Rfam family: tRNA
About the family: Transfer RNA (tRNA) molecules are approximately 80 nucleotides in length. Their secondary structure includes four short double-helical elements and three loops (D, anti-codon, and T loops). Further hydrogen bonds mediate the characteristic L-shaped molecular structure. tRNAs have two regions of fundamental functional importance: the anti-codon, which is responsible for specific mRNA codon recognition, and the 3' end, to which the tRNAs corresponding amino acid is attached (by aminoacyl-tRNA synthetases). tRNAs cope with the degeneracy of the genetic code in two manners: having more than one tRNA (with a specific anti-codon) for a particular amino acid; and 'wobble' base-pairing, i.e. permitting non-standard base-pairing at the 3rd anti-codon position.
Source: Rfam by way of RNAcentral